AUCCAGCCCAUGAGUCCCAAAUAUGACGAAACAUGCGUCCUGGAU
RNAcentral lists this non-coding RNA (45 nucleotides) under Schistosoma mansoni. Lineage: Eukaryota; Metazoa; Platyhelminthes; Trematoda; Strigeidida; Schistosomatidae. The record is from RNAcentral.